Molecule: ribosomal RNA, 598 nt
Filed under: fungal endophyte
Lineage: Eukaryota; Fungi
Description: eukaryotic LSU rRNA
Rfam family: 5.8S ribosomal RNA (bases 186-339)
Source: RNAcentral
GGAUCAUUAAAGAGUUCUAUAACUCCCAAACCCAUGUGAACAUACCUAACGUUGCCUCGGCAGGUCGCACCUACCUUGUAGCACCCUACCCUGUAGGGCCUACCCGGGAGGUGCGGGUAAGCCUGCCGGCGGCCCACCAAACUCUGUUUGAUAUUGAAUUCUGAACCUAUAACUAAAUAAGUUAAAACUUUCAACAACGGAUCUCUUGGUUCUGGCAUCGAUGAAGAACGCAGCGAAAUGCGAUAAGUAAUGUGAAUUGCAGAAUUCAGUGAAUCAUCGAAUCUUUGAACGCAUAUUGCGCCCAUUAGUAUUCUAGUGGGCAGGACCGUUCGAGCGUCAUUUCAACCCUUAAGCCUUCGUUGCUUAGUGUUGGGAGCCUACGGCAACGUAGCUCCUCAAAGUUAGUGGCGGAGUUAGUUCACACUCUAGACGUAGUAAUUUUUUAUCUCGCCUAUUAGUUGGACUAAUCCCCUGCCGUAAAACCCCCAAUUUAUCAAGGUUGACCUCGAAUCGGUUCAGACAAACUCGCUAAAUUGAAGCAUCUUAGUCAGCGAAGGAAAAGAAACCAACAGGGAUUGCCCUAGUAACGGCGAGUGAA